Molecule: long non-coding RNA, 2092 nt
Organism: Bacillus rossius redtenbacheri
Lineage: Eukaryota; Metazoa; Arthropoda; Insecta; Phasmatodea; Bacillidae
Exons: 7
Source: RefSeq, a predicted model, not a curated record
CGUGAAGUUGACUGCUCAGAGCAGAAGCCUUUCGAAGCGGUAUUCUUGCCAAUCAAGGAAGAGUUGACUGAUGAAUUGGUGGUGAGCUAAGGCAUCAGGAGCCCAGCCGGUCGAGCAUGGUUCUUUUCCUCGCCACCGUCAUAGCGACGACGCGUCGCCGGUAUGACGGCGGAGUUAUGACGGCCGCGGGAAAAUGCGAGCAUGGAACCCAUCGUCAUAACUUCCCCGUCUUCACUAAGGCGUCUUACCUAUGACGGCUCGGCAUCCAAUAAUAUGCAAAGCAGCAAGCCAGUAGCGAUGGCACGAGGAGGAAGAGCAAACAUGUGCCAGUUGGAACUUCUUGCAAAUUACAUGUUUGCGCAUCCAAAAUUUGCAAGAGGUGAGAUGAUGGGACCACAAGGCCUACAGCUCAUAAAUAAAAUGUGGUUGGAACUAACAAGUCAAUUAAAUGAGCUGGGGCCUGAAAAAAAUGUGGACCAGUGGAAAAAAGUUUGGCGCGACAUGCGAAGGAAUACGCGUGCGAAAAACGCAGCAAUCAAUGUGGAACACGCGGCCACGGGAAAUCCCCAUGUGGAUUCAAAAUUGCCAGCUAUGAAGUGAAGGUCCUUGCGGUGCUUGGUUUAGAAUCGAGUGCUGGCAUCAGUGGCUUGACUAGUGUCGGUUUGAGCAGGACAGUGGCAAAAGAAGAGCUAGGCACACCUUGCCAAGUCAGUGAGAUCUCUUUUGUAAGUAAAAUUCACAUAACACAUUGACAAUUAUUAACCUUUAUUUUGUUUCAAUGACAUACAACAUAGCACAUUUUAGUGCGGUUUCCAUGAUUGAUGCAUAUGUUCAGACAGAUUUGUGAAAUUAUGUUGAUGGAGAAUAUCAAAUAACUUUAAAAAGUAUUAAACAAAAAAAUUAUAGAAAAUAUUGUUAUUUCUCAUUGGUACUUAAAUAAUAUUUAAAUCUAUAUAUCUUAGGUAGCAAGCUUUACAAUCUUGGCACUGAUGAAUGUGUCAUUUAUUAAAACAAACAUUUUUCUAGGUAUGCAAUACUGGUAAAUGAUGAAGUAAAAUAGCAAUUAUUUAUUUGUUGAUUAACCGUAAAUCAUGAUCAUCAAUCAUCCAAUAGUCAAAAAACCUUAUUAAGAACUAUUUAAAUAUGCAAUCAUUGUUUCCAACCAUUAACGUUUCUCAGUGCUUUUAUGUAAAUCCUUAAAAUAAGUUUUUGGUGGCUGUAUUAACCACAACAUAAAAAUAUCCAUUUGAAAUUACUUUAUGGACCAAAUGACAUAGAAAAACUGCAUUUGUCCAUAAAGUUGUUUUCAAAUAAUAUUCUCCAUUUCAAGGAUAUUUCAAAAAACAUAUCUAGUUUAUAAACAUUAGAUUAAUCCCAGCCCUACCAAAACUUAAUUUAAAAAAAAUGUGGCAGCACCAAGUUAUUUUUCGACAAAACUAUAACCGUGGGGAGCCAAGUAGUUUAAAAGCAGAAGCAUGGUUCUAGCACCAUGUCCUAUAACAAACCAAAAUACUCAAAAUUCUUCAUAAUUUAAUUAUUUUUCAGGAAUCAGUCAAGGAAGAAACCCUUUUGGGUAAUGUUAACAAGGAGACUGAACCCCUUUCAAUCAAGCAACUUGAAAAUAUAGAAGUUGUGAUCGAAGAUGGUGUUUUCAAGCAACCAUUACAAGAUAAUGCUACAACACCAGAGCCUAAAAAAAGACCUGCAGUGUGUGAUAAAAGUCCGCGAAAGAAAAAAAAACGUAAGUGAUACUCCAUAGUGUUCUUUAUGAAGUAUAUGCAGUUCGGUCCAAUAAAUUUACAAUUAAAUUUAUUUUUUUAACAGGUAGCAGCACAAAUGAAAAUGACGAAAAGUUUGUGGAGCUAUUCUGCCAGGCACAAGACAAAAACAUAAAAAACUCUGAGGUAAUGGCCAGCCAAUUGGGACAGUUGAAUGCCAAUGUUGAAAGAAUGGCCUCGGCAAUGGAAAAAUUUGCUGAGGCACAUGAGAAACUGGCAUCAGCUAUAACGCAACUAGUCUCAAAGAAGUGAUAAUUUGCAAGUGAAUUUGUAAAUUCUAAAUGUUGUAAAUAAAAGUACAUACCUAUUUUAAA